Long non-coding RNA from Oncorhynchus tshawytscha (Chinook salmon), 6455 nucleotides. The record is from Ensembl. Lineage: Eukaryota; Metazoa; Chordata; Actinopteri; Salmoniformes; Salmonidae.
GUUUCGUCAGUUGGACAGGAUGUUUGGGUUUCAAAGUUCAUCCUGUGUCUGCCUCUAAAAAACAUACAUUUGUCAACACGUCAACACAAGUGCAUGACAAUGUCAAGGUAGGUUUGUUAUCAGAUUACAACCAUGUAUGUAGCUACACUCAUUGUUAAACGGAGCUAAAGUAAGACGUUUUAUAUCUUUAAGUACCUACCAUGAUACCGCCACAGACCAGGCAUGCAGCUAUUCCUGUAAAUCCACCAUGGCUACUCCCACCUCCAGAGGUUGAUCUACUAGUGUUGGAGAGACUACGGAAAGAUAGGGAGGGUGUUAAUCCAUCUGGAUACUGUGUAUCAGGAUUUUGUGGCCAUUUACACAGAUGGUUUCAAAGAUCCAAGAACACGACAUACUGGGUCAGCAUUUGUAGUGCAGGAACGUAUUACAGAUCAUCUGGCUGUAUAUACGGCUGAGCUGAUGGCCAUACUGUUGGCCUUGCAGUGGGUGGCGGAAGUCAAGCCAGACAGAGUAGUUAUUUGCUGUGAUUGAUGUGAGGUGUUGAUGAGUCAGCAGUCCUUUAGCUCAUGUAGCAGACAAUACCUGCUUUAUGAGGUACUACAAACUCAUGGCACUAUUAGACAGAUGGGUAUACAUAUCAGAUUCACUUGGGUCCCAGUCCAUGUGGGGGUGUAGGGGAAUGAGGCAGUUGAUGUUGUGGCUAAACAAGCACUUAGUAGUUGGGAUGUUAUAGUUUCAAUGAGCAAGGCAGAAGCAAAAAGCCUGAUAUUGACAGUGAUGGUGCCACGAUGGCAGGAGCAGUGGAAUAGAGCUAUGAAGGACAGGGAUUUAUUUCAAGUACAGAGGAAAGUCUGGGACGGGAGGACAGCAUGAAGGGGCAGAAGAGAGAUGGCUAUUUUUACAAGGUUAAGUGUGGGACACAACCGGUUGAAUAAGACUUUAAAAGGGAUAGGAAAACACCCAACAGGAAAGUGUGAUUAUUGCCAGGAAACAGACCAUGGAGCAUGCAUUGCUACAGUAUGGCAGUAUCAGAAGGAAAAGGAGAGGAUGAGAGCUAGUAUGAGGGAGAAGGAGAUACAGGAAAUUAGUUUUAAAAGUAUAUUGAGUAGAACUUCAUUGGUUAUAGUCUCAAAUAUUUUAUAUAUUUUUUAAGAUGAACGGGGCUGGCAGGAUUUAGUUUCUCCCUGUCUCUGGACCACACUCCAGUACAGUCGGUGGCGGUAAUGCAUCAUGACGAUGAAUUGUGAACCGAAGAUAAAGCUUACCGAAGAAGAAGCCCAGGCACGCGCAAAAAGUGGCGCACCAAGUUCUCGCAUCGAUUUUUCUACAUAGUAUGCUGUCGCCACUCUCUUGCGGUAAUUGUUCUACACAUUUUUAAAAGAAACCAAAAGCUUUCAAAAUAUUACGUAUUUUAUCACUAACAGAUGAGAGGACAGCUUAAGUACUUUUCCCGGACAUUACCCCUUCACUACAGUCCGCAUUUCUGUGUCCAGAUUGUAACAAAACAAGUGCAUGGCAAUGUCAAGGUAAGUUUACCCUUACUAAAAAUAAGUGCCGUCAGUGUACAGUAUAACUGAAGAACGCUGUAGUAUAAUUGUAGUUAGAGUGUAGUGUACUGCAAAUACUCCGUCCAAAAUAACACUUUAUUUUUUAAAUUUUACUUUAGUAAUUUUCAAAUCAAAUUUUAUUGGUCACGUGUUUAUCAUAUGUUAUUGCAGGUGUAGCGAAAUGCUUGUUUAUAGCUCCCAACAGUGCAGUAAUAUCCAAAAAGUAAUACCUAACAAUUUCACAACAAAUACCCAAUACAGACAAAUCUAAGUAAAGGCAUGGAAUUAAGAAUAUAUAAAUAUUCUUAUAGACUAAGAUACAGUAGAAUAUAAUAGAAUACAGUAUAUAUAGAUGAGUAAUGCAAAAUAUGUAUUAUUAAAUAACAUUAUUAAAGGAGGGCAUGUAGUUUGCCCUCCCGGUGAUGCGUUGGGCAGAUCGUACCACCCUCUGUUGGUGAGACCUCAUCUCAUUGGUCCAGGAGGUGGGCUUCAGCACUCCUCACCUCAUCUCAGCCAGUCACAUCGAGGUCCACAACUGCGAGCUCAAAAGAAAGCUGGUACAUGCAUCUCCAUUACUGUCUUAAGGCUGCUUACUAUAGGAUGGAAACAGUAUGCAGUUCUUACGUUAACCUAACUUCACUAAUAACACAUUUAUUCAUGUCGUCUAGAAACAGUUAGUAUAAAAAAUGUAAGCCUAGUUGUGGCGGUCAUAGCAUUUUGUCAGCCGGUGAUUGUCAAGCAAAUAACUGCCGGUCUCACGGUAAUUGACCAUUAAUUAACAGCUGAAUUAAAUAGGAAAUAUAUUUUCUACAAAUGAUUUGAGGGAGGACGCACAUGCGGCUAUUCUGUGUUGAGCGGUUAACAGAGAAAUGGGUACUCCUAUGCUUCAUUUAGAGUUAUUAAUGUAACUUUAGUUGUGAUACAAAUGUUGGGCUAUAUGUUUAGAUUUUUAAUACAUUGUAAGGCUGCAUGAUGCGACUCUAAUGAUGAUUUGUAAAAAGUUAGAUGAAAGGCAUGAGCUCUGCUUUGUUUUUUUGUGCAGACUGUACACACUUCAUCAGUCUCUCAUUCACAAUCUGACAAGCACUUGACAAUGCCUCAAAUUACCUGGCUGUAUCACCUUUGUGUGGCCUUAAUCCCCCCCUGCAAAAAUCCAUCCCUUUUGUGCCCUUGGGCUGAAUAUAAUAAUUAUGAUCCCCUUCUCCCCGCUGCAUGCCGAAGCACCUCUCACUCACAUGGCUCUCAGUCACGUGAUCAGGUCUUUCUUACAGGCUACAAGUGAAGACAGACACAUCGGGGAGGCAACUGCGUGCAUCCUUAUCCAAUUCCGAGGCGCAUAUUGAAGAUUUUGGAAGAACUGUCCACAUUUACUUUUUGUCAGCCAACAAGAUGAGUAGGCCUAACGAAAAGCAAAAGCACUAGCCUAUGUCAAUCUACUGUCCCAAAUUAAUACAACCACAAGCAUUCAACAAACUGUUUUAAGCUGUGAGCCUGAUGCAACAGAUGAGAACGGUUAGCUUAAAAUGUUGAUAAACUAUUAGGCAAUUUCUUCACAUUAUAAGUUCAGCAAUGCGCACACAGCAGUAUUACCAGGAAAACACCAUUCUCAAAAGGGACCACAAAUGAGAUUAUGCAUGUAAUGCUUUUAUUAUAAAGGAGCAUUCUUAUCUUCCCCAAACAUGAAACUCACAUGCUGCGUAUGCAUGUCAGGCUCUACACCCUUUGUAAAUCGGAUUAAUUUUAAGAAGUUAUUUUGCCACUUUAGUUGUGAUACAAACCUUCUAGACCUAUGGGCUAGGCUACAUGAGGUGUGAUACAAACCUUAUCAAAACAUAUAGACCUAUGGGCUAGGCUACAUGAGGUGUGUGACUGAUUAGAAAAAGUUGCAAAAAAAAAGCAUGCACUGUUUGCCUUAAGCUGGCCAUCAUUCACAAGCCGUAAUAUAUCAUUCACAGGUGAUAGGCUAAUAUUGUCACCCAUCAGACUAUUUUUGAUUUAAACGUAACAUAUUCUAAAUAAUAUACAGUACCAGUCAAAAGUUUGGACACCUACUCAUUCCAGGGUUUGCCUUGAUUACAGCUUUGCACACUCUUGGCAUUCUCUCAACCAGCUUCAUGAGGUAGUCACCUGGAAUGCAUUUCAAUUAACAGGUGUGUCAUGUUAAGUUAAUUUGUGGAAUUUCUUUCCUUCUUAUUGCGUUUGAGCCAAUCAGUUGAGUUGUGACAAGGUAGGGGUGGUAUACAGAAGAUAACCCUAUUUGGUAAAAGACCAAGUCCAUAUUAUGGUAAGAACAGCUCAAAUAAGCAAAGAGAAACGACAGUCCAUCAUUACUUUAAGACAUGAAGGUCAGUCAAUACGGAAAAUUUCAAGAACUUUGAAAGUUUCUUCAAGUGCAGUCGGAAAACCAUCAAACACUAUGAUGAAACUGGCUCUCAUGAGGACCGCCUUAGGAAAGGAAGACCCAGAGUUACCUCUGUUGCAGAGAAUAAGUUCAUUAGAGUUACCAGCCUUAGAUAUUGCAGCCCAAAUAAAUGCUUCACAGAGUUCAAGUAACACACAUCUCAACGUCAACUGUUCAGAGGAAAAGGCGUGAAUCAGGCUUUCACGGUCGAAUUGCUGCAAAGAAGCCACUACUAAAGGACACCAAUAAUAAGAAGAGACUUGCUUGGGCCAAGAAACACAAGCAAUGGACAUUAGAAAUGUGAUAUUUUUGGUUACAACCACUGUGUCAUGUGAGAUGCAGAGUAGGUGAUCGGAUGAUCUCUCCAUGUGUGGUUCCCACUGUGAAUUAAGGAGGAGGUGUGACAGGUGAUUUAUUUAGAAUUCAAGGCACACUUAACCAGCAUGGCUACCAAAGCAUUCUGCAGCUAUAUGCAAUCCUAUCUGGUUUGCACUUAGUGCGACUAUCAUUUGUUUUUCAACAGGACAAUGACCCAACAUACCUCCAGGCUGUGUAAGGGCUAUUUGACCAAGAAGGAGAGUGAUGGAGUGCUGUAUCAGUUGAGAUAGUUUGGGAUGAGUUGGACCGCAGAGUGAAGGAAAAACAGCCAACAAGUGCUCAGCAUAUGUGGGAACUCCUUCAAGACGGUUGGAAAAGUAUUCCAGGUGAAGCUGGUUGAGAGAAUGCAUUGAGUGUGCAUGAUUCCAUAUGUGUUAUUUCAUAGUUGAUGUCUUCACCAUUAUUCUACAGUGUAGAACAUAGUAAAAAUAAAGAAAAAUCCUUGAAUGAGUAGGUGUGUCUAAACCUUUGACUGGUACUGCAUGUGUGAAAUUUGACCAUUAUCAUGCUCCUGUCUCAAAACAGGGGCAGAGAGAAUAAAAUACAUGACUGCACUUAAAUUGCGAAUGGAGGAUGUUUUUCCCAUGUUUCAUUUUGAUGCCAGCCAGGUAAGCAAAACUCCUGUUUCAAAGAUAAGCAAUGUGCUUAAAAUUUGGAAGGUUGAGAAAUAAAUAUAGUUGGCCUAGCCUAUCGAAAGCUGAUUGGAUCCUCAGUUUUCUCACGCAAUUGCAUAGCCUAAAUAAAUGUUGCGCAACAUGAGCUCAUGGGCUCUCAUGAAGUGUUUUGAUUAGAAUUUCGAUGACAUUUGCAGUGAUGUCAGAGUGAUUAGAGGGACAAUAGUGUGGAGUACCAGGCAGUUAGCACGUUUGGUAGGCUAGUAAUGACCAUCAGCAGCAUCAGAGCUUAGAGAAGCCUAAUUACCGUGACUAAACGGUCACAUGGAAUUGAACUGCAAUCAUGACUCAUGAACGCCGGUGUGGCAGUAAUGUGGUCACCUUUACAGCCCUAAUCCUAGGCAGUCACGUCCAUUUCCAAUGUGUUGCAGGUGAUAUUAGCUAUGCAUCUGGCACUUACCGGCUCUUCAAAUUGCCCAAAAAGCUUGAGAUGUCAAUCGCAAUAGUGACCUACAAGGGAAGUGUGUCUGACUACCCUUGUCAGCUGUAGUUUGACUCCUCCCACUGCUUCAAGGUAUGUUAGUGCAAACACGGCAGGGCUCUCCAACCCUGUUCCCGGAGAGCUACCGUCCAUAGGUUUUCACUCCAACCCCAAUCUAGCGCACCUGAUACUAAUAAUUAGCUUGUUGAUAAACUGAAUCAGGUUAGUUACAACAGGGGUUGGAGUGAAAACCUACACGAGGGAAGCUCUUCAGGAACAGGUUCACCAAAGCAUUUUUCAUGAAGGCAACAUUGGUUGUUUCUGUUUAUAUAGCAAAGUCAUUUUGUUCCCAAGUGUUUUACUUGUGUAUUCAUAUUGCGACACACAUUUCUAAAAAUGGAUUCCACACUACAUUAGGUCAAUGCACAAAUUGUGUGGGUUGUCUGAUAUGCUAAAUGUAUAAUCCCUUUGAUGUUUACUUUGUGUUGUGCAGAAAAACGCUGCAGGUCGACGGGGUUAUCUUCCAGUGCUCUCUCUUCUCCCCAGACUUCUGCAUCCAGAAGUAUGGCCACCUCAGCCCUUUCUUGCUGUGCUGCUCGGUGAAUCAAUGCUCCAAGACAGGCAAAGCCCCAGUAGCCUGUGGAGAGACCUAACUUAACGACACCACAUCCAUGAUGGAACCUCCUUAGAGAGCCGGGGUGUAUGGCCCAAUAAUCUUGCCUUCCUGCUGAAGUGUGCAUUCACUACUUCCCACAAAUCUAAAAGCAUUGGAUUGUUGUUUGCCUGGGAUAUUGGGAGUUUCCAUAUUUAUAGUGAUAAUUCCCAAGAAGCCGGUGUUUGUUGGAUAUGUUGGCAUGGUGUUGUUAGGCCCGAGACCAAAUCGAGGACUGGCAAACCAUGCCAAUAUAUCCAACAAACACCAGCUUCGAGGGCAUUAUCACUUGUACACGGGUUACCAACAUAUUCAAAUAAUGAUCGACAUUUUCAUUAAAAACGUUAUUUUUAUACAUUUAUUUGUACAAUUUCAUCCUUCC